GAUGAAGAACGUAGCGAAAUGCGCUAAGUAAUGUGAAUUGCAGAAUUCAGUGAAUCAUCGAAUCUUUGAACGCACAUUGCGCCCCUUGGUAUUCCGAGGGGCAUUCCUGUUCGAGCGUCAUUAUAACCCCUCAAGCUCAGCUUGGUGUUGGGGCCUGCUGCACUGGCAGCCCUUAAAAUCAGUGGCGGCGCCAUCUGGCUCUAAGCGUAGUAAUUCUUCUCGCUAUGGAGUCCUGGUGGAUGCUUGCCAUCAACCCCCAAUUUUUCUAUGGUUGACCUCGGAUCAGGUAGGGAUACCCGCUGAACUUAAGCAUAUCAAUAAGCGGAGGA
RNAcentral lists this unclassified non-coding RNA (329 nucleotides) under soil metagenome. RNAcentral's name for it is "partial contains 5.8S ribosomal RNA, internal transcribed spacer 2, and large subunit ribosomal RNA". The stretch from base 1 to 120 matches the Rfam family "5.8S ribosomal RNA", at positions 35 to 154 of the family's 154-position model. The record is from RNAcentral.